RNAcentral lists this ribosomal RNA (506 nucleotides) under uncultured bacterium. RNAcentral describes it as "partial 16S ribosomal RNA". It matches the Rfam family "Bacterial small subunit ribosomal RNA", at positions 28 to 523 of the family's 1533-position model. The record is from RNAcentral.
GAUGAACGCUAGCGAUAGGCUUAACACAUGCAAGUCGAGGGGCAGCAUGGUCUUAGCUUGCUAAGACUGAUGGCGACCGGCGCACGGGUGCGUAACGCGUAUGCAACUUGCCUCACAGAGGGGGAUAACCCGUCGCAAGACGGACUAAUACCGCGUACACUUGGAGGGAGGCAUCUCCCAUCAAGGAAAAGAAAUUCGCUGUGAGAUAGGCAUGCGUCCCAUUAGCUAGUUGGUGAGGUAACGGCUCACCAAGGCAACGAUGGGUAGGGGAACUGAGAGGUUGAACCCCCACACUGGUACUGAGACACGGACCAGACUCCUACGGGAGGCAGCAGUGAGGAAUAUUGGUCAAUGGGCGAGAGCCUGAACCAGCCAAGUCGCGUGAAGGAUGACUGUCUUAUGGAUUGUAAACUUCUUUUGUAGGGGAAUAAAGAACGGUACGUGUACCGUAGUAAAUGUACCCUACGAAUAAGCAUCGGCUAACUCCGUGCCAGCCGCCGCGGUAA